RNAcentral lists this ribosomal RNA (347 nucleotides) under Boophis luteus. Its description in RNAcentral is "partial 16S ribosomal RNA". It matches the Rfam family "Bacterial large subunit ribosomal RNA", at positions 2088 to 2597 of the family's 2925-position model. The record is from RNAcentral. Lineage: Eukaryota; Metazoa; Chordata; Amphibia; Anura; Mantellidae.
ACCCCAUGGAGCUUUAAACCUGACAACACCCAUUUAUCUUUUACCCUAGUAUUCAUUAGGCCCUGUUUGUUUGGUUUUAGGUUGGGGUGACCACGGAGUAUAAAAUAACCUCCAAGAAAAAUGGACCAACAAUCCUUAUCAAAGAACUACAAUUCUAUGAAUUAAUAAAUUAAUUUUUAAUGACCCGAUAUUUAUUCGAUCAACGAACCAAGUUACCCUGGGGAUAACAGCGCAAUCCACUUUAAGAGCCCAUAUCGACAAGUGGGUUUACGACCUCGAUGUUGGAUCAGGGUAUCCUAGUGGUGCAGCAGCUACUAACGGUUCGUUUGUUCAACGAUUAAAACCCU